UGGCUUAAUUUGACUCAACGCGGGAAAUCUUACCGGGUCCGGACACACUGAGGAUUGACAGGCAAUAUUAGCACUUAGCUUCGGCGACGUGUUAUGUUAAAUAUGCUAGUCCUUUCAUGAUUAUGUGAUAGGUGGUGCAUGGCCGUUCUUAGUUCGUGGAGUGAUCUGUCUGCUUAAUUGCGUUUCACCAAGGGCCUAUAAUUUUACGUGUGUUGCGGCACUUUGACCCCUCUUUUUUUAAAGAGCGCGUGUCUUGGUUUGCUUAGCUCGCACAAUUAGGUCCUGAAAGCAACGAACGUGACCGCAACCUCUUGUUGCCUUUAUACCAAACGUGCAUAUGUAAUUUUUUAAUUGCUUUGCGCGCAAAAAGGCUUUUUAAACUAGAGGGACCGCUGUUACUUUCUUAAACCAGAGGAAGGUUGCGGCAAUAACAGGUCUGUGAUGC
RNAcentral lists this ribosomal RNA (445 nucleotides) under Bulimina sp. RNAcentral describes it as "SSU rRNA". It matches the Rfam family "Eukaryotic small subunit ribosomal RNA", at positions 1187 to 1470 of the family's 1831-position model. Lineage: Eukaryota; Foraminifera; Rotaliida; Buliminidae. The record is from RNAcentral.